UGGGGAAUAUUCCGCAAUGGACGAAAGUCUGACGGAGCAAUGCCGCGUGAGUGAUGAAGGCCUUUGGGUCGUAAAACUCUGUCUUCGGGGAUGAAACCAUUAUGUGAUAAUACCGCAUAGUAUUGACAGUACCCGAGGAGGAAGCCCCGGCUAACUACGUGCCAGCAGCCGCGGUAAUACGUAGGGGGCGAGCGUUGUCCGGAAUCCUUGGGCGUAAAGGGCGUGUAGGCGGUUUUGUAAGUCAGAUGUGAAAACGUGAGGCUCAACUUCAAGCCUGCAGCUGAAACUACAUCACUUGAGGGCAGGAGAGGAAAGUGGAAUUCCAUGUGUAGCGGUGAAAUGCGUAGAUAUAUGGAAGAACACCAGUGGCGAAGGCGACUUUCUGGACUGAACCUGACGCUGAGGCGCGAAAGCCAGGGGAGCGAACG
RNAcentral lists this ribosomal RNA (428 nucleotides) under uncultured prokaryote. Its description in RNAcentral is "bacterial SSU rRNA". It matches the Rfam family "Bacterial small subunit ribosomal RNA", at positions 355 to 774 of the family's 1533-position model. The record is from RNAcentral.